ACGGGAGGCAGCAGUAGGGAAUCUUCGGCAAUGGGGGCAACCCUGACCGAGCAACGCCGCGUGAGUGAAGAAGGUUUUCGGAUCGUAAAGCUCUGUUGUAAGAGAAGAACGUUGAGUAGAGUGGAAAGUUACUCAAGUGACGGUAUCUUACCAGAAAGGGACGGCUAACUACGUGCCAGCAGCCGCGGUAAUACGUAGGUCCCGAGCGUUGUCCGGAUUUAUUGGGCGUAAAGCGAGCGCAGGCGGUUUAAUAAGUCUGAAGUUAAAGGCAGUGGCUCAACCAUUGUUUGCUUUGGAAACUGUUAAACUUGAGUGCAGAAGGGGAGAGUGGAAUUCCAUGUGUAGCGGUGAAAUGCGUAGAUAUAUGGAGGAACACCGGUGGCGAAAGCGGCUCUCUGGUCUGUAACUGACGCUGAGGCUCGAAAGCGUGGGUAGCGAACAGGAUUAGAUACCCUGGUA
This 459-nucleotide ribosomal RNA is filed under the name uncultured Streptococcus sp. RNAcentral describes it as "partial 16S ribosomal RNA". It matches the Rfam family "Bacterial small subunit ribosomal RNA", at positions 341 to 792 of the family's 1533-position model. Lineage: Bacteria; Bacillati; Bacillota; Bacilli; Lactobacillales; Streptococcaceae. The record is from RNAcentral.